UUGGAGGGCAAGUCUGGUGCCAGCAGCCGCGGUAAUUCCAGCUCCAAUAGCGUAUAUUAAAGUUGUUGCAGUUAAAAAGCUCGUAGUUGAAUUUCGGGAUCAAUAUUUCGGUCAUGCCGUUGGUAUGCACUGUUAUCAUUGAUUUCUCACCUUCUAAAGAACCGUAAUGCCAUUAAUUUGGUGUUACGGGGAAUUAGGACUGUUACCUUGAAAAAAUUAGAGUGUUUAAAGCAGGCUCACGCUUGAAUACAUUAGCAUGGAAUAAUGAAAUAGGACAUCCGAUUCUAUUUUGUUGGUUUCUAGGAUCGAUGUAAUGAUUAAUAGGGGUAGUUGGGGGCAUUAGUAUUCAAUUGUCAGAGGUGAAAUUCUUGGAUUUAUUGAAGACUAACUACUGCGAAAGCAUUUGCCAAGGAUGUUUUCAUUAAUCAAGAACGAAAGUUAGGGGAUCGAAGACGAUCAGAUACCGUCGGAGUCUUAACCAUAAACUACGCCGACUAGGGAUCGGAUGAUGUUAAUUUUUUAAUGACUCAUUCGGCGCCUUACGGGAAACCAAAGUGUUUGGGUUC
This 566-nucleotide ribosomal RNA is filed under the name uncultured Glomeromycotina. RNAcentral describes it as "SSU rRNA". It matches the Rfam family "Eukaryotic small subunit ribosomal RNA", at positions 548 to 1114 of the family's 1831-position model. Lineage: Eukaryota; Fungi; Glomeromycota. The record is from RNAcentral.